Etheostoma cragini (Arkansas darter) is the source of this 2249-nucleotide RNA transcript. It is a transcript of the gene named epoxide hydrolase 1, microsomal (xenobiotic), with no coding region annotated. The record is from RefSeq and is a predicted model, not a curated record. NCBI's taxonomy places the organism in Eukaryota, Metazoa, Chordata, Actinopteri, Perciformes, Percidae. The transcript is spliced from 10 exons.
GUUAUUACCCAGCAUCCCAUUUGUCCUUAUCCGCAAAGUACUACAUGACCCAUCAUGCACCUCUGGUAUUUCCCCACGGUCAGUCAGUCAGGUCUCGCGAAGGGUUUUCCGUCUUCAUGCUCGCAGAAUAACAAGCAGCACAUGUGUUACAUCACUGGUCCGUGGACAUUAAGUCAACAGCAUGUUAACCGAGGUGCUGGUUGCUCUGCUGGUUGGAGGGCUGCUCUACUUCCUGGUCCAGAGGAGCAGGACCCAGGUGCUGAGGACAGAGGACGGCUGGUGGGGGCCCGGUGCCCCUCCUGAUGGAGGGGAGGACAUCACCAUUCGUCCCUUUACAGUCAGCACUAGUGCUGAGGAGCUGGAGGAUCUGUACAGGAGGAUAGACCAGACUCGGCCUGUCCCCUCUCUGGAGGACAGCCACUUCACCUAUGGCUUCAACUCCCAGUGCCUGCAGACAGUGCUGUCUUACUGGAGAAAUAACUUUGACUGGAGGAGACAGGUGGACAGACUCAACCAGUACCCGCACUUUAAAACCAACAUUGAAGGCAUUGAUAUCCACUACCUGCAUGUGAAGCCCAAGACGGUGCCAGAGGGAUCCACUGCCCUUCCUCUGAUCAUGGUGCACGGCUGGCCCGGAUCCUUCUAUGACUUCUAUGGGUUGAUCCCUCUACUGACAGAACCAUCAGACCCCAGCCACCUCGUGUUUGAGGUGGUGUGUCCCUCCAUACCAGGCUAUGGUUUUUCAGAAGCACCACAUAAGAAAGGCUUAGAUUCCGUACGUGCCGCACACAUCUUCCACAAGCUGAUGAAGCGUUUGGGCUUUCAGCAGUUCUACGCUCAUGGAGGAGACUGGGGCUGGCUGGUCACUACCAACAUGGCCCAGCUGGAGCCCAGGAGCAUCAGAGGCUUGCAUGUGAACUUUGCCCCGCCCUCCAAUCCGGGGCUGCCCAUGACCCUGUCCCUCAUGCUGGGCCGUCGCUUCCCCAAGCUGUUUGGCUUCACUGACACGGACGUUGAGCGUCUCUUCCCCUGCAUGGAGAAACUGGUGAUCGAGUCCAUCAAAGAGUCUGGCUACAUGCACAUCCAGGCCACCAAGCCUGACACCGUGGGCCGAGGACUGAAUGACUCCCCAGUGGGUCUGGCUGCCUACAUCUUGGAGAAGUUCUCCACGUGGACGAAUCGUGACUUCAGGGACCUGGAGGACGGAGGACUCACCAGGAAGUUCUCCCUGGAUGACCUGCUGACCAACGUGAUGAUCUACUGGACGUCUGGCUGCAUCGUCUCCUCCAUGAGGUUCUACAAGGAAAACCUUGGCAAAGGCCUGAAUGCGCCUCACUCCAAGAUCCCUGUGGACGUUCCCACCGGCUUUGCCUGCUUCCCCAACGAGCUGACGCACACUCCCAAACUGUGGCUCAAACAGAAAUACCGCAACCUGGUGACCUUCACACCUAUGGCCCGCGGCGGCCAUUUUGCCGCCAUGGAGGAGCCCCAGCUGAUGGCCGAGGACAUCCAGAACUUCACCAAGAUAGUGGAGAAGCAGCGGGCUGUGUAGUGAUCCAAUAUUAUGACAGCUAAGAUUAGAAACUUGUUCUCACUGACCCGCCAUGCUGUCUUAAUACCCAUAAGGCAUUUGGUGAGUCAAAACAAAAGCACUCAUUUUGACUGGAUUUUGGAAAAGCACAGCUGAAAUUGAUAACAUAUGUCUUAGUAUACUAUUUCAGUAAGUUGCAUGCACAAUACCAGGGCCUCUACUAAGUGGAUUGAGCCAUCUUUAAUGGUUUGCAGACACCUGUGCUACUACGAUAUGUCAACAUGUCUUCUGUGAAAAAGCCCUAUAGCAGGUGUUGUAAAGAGCAGCAGUCUGCAUGGUGUUGCUGUGGUCUGGAGGAGGAGCUGUGCUGGGGGUCCCUAACACUGAUGUCUCACUCAGAACUCCCUCAGCCUUUUAGUAUUAGUAUUACACAGUUUACUCGGCAGCUGCAGAUGGGAGGUCAGGGGCCACCUGGUGGUAUUGUGUUGACAGCCUGGACAAGGUGCCAGACAUUCCUCACACUGAUAACACGGAGCCUCAGACCUCUGAGUUUGGCUGGAUUUCUUACAACUCAUUCCAUGUCUUUAAUGUAAAACCCAGCAUUCACUUAACAUCCCGUCUCUUUGAUUAACUUUGAUUUGCUUCAAAUACUACAAUUCACACUGCUUACUUUAUUGCUGUACCAACCGUGAAAAUAAAGAGUUAAUCAUCAUGUUGA